ACAAACACUGAUCAACAUAUUGACACACAUACACUGACAGAAAUACUGACACCCACAUACACUGAGAAAUACUGACACACACACACAGGCACAUACACUGGCACACACAGACUGAUAUACUGACACACACACACACAGACAUACUGGCACACAGACAGAUAUACUGACACAUGCAUACACAUGCACUAACAGACAUACUGACACACAGACAGACAUACUGACACACACACACACAGACAGACAGACAGACAUACUGACACACACACACAGACAUACUGAUA
Molecule: non-coding RNA, 281 nt
Organism: Pelobates cultripes (western spadefoot toad)
Lineage: Eukaryota; Metazoa; Chordata; Amphibia; Anura; Pelobatidae
Source: the annotation of a GenBank genome assembly